AGCGAACGCUGGCGGCAGGCUUAACACAUGCAAGUCGAGCGGGCAUCUUCGGGUGUCAGCGGCGGACGGGUGAGUAACGCGUGGGAACGUGCCUUCUGGUUCGGAAUAACUCAGGGAAACUUGAGCUAAUACCGGAUACGCCCUUUUGGGGAAAGGUUUACUGCCGGAAGAUCGGCCCGCGUCUGAUUAGCUAGUUGGUGGGGUAACGGCCUACCAAGGCGACGAUCAGUAGCUGGUCUGAGAGGAUGAUCAGCCACACUGGGACUGAGACACGGCCCAGACUCCUGCGGGAGGCAGCAGUGGGGAAUAUUGGACAAUGGGGGCAACCCUGAUCCAGCCAUGCCGCGUGAGUGAUGAAGGCCUUAGGGUGGUAAAGCUCUUUUAUCCGGGACGAUAAUGACGGUACCGGAGGAAUAAGCCCCGGCUAACUUCGUGCCAGCAGCCGCCGUAA
This 451-nucleotide ribosomal RNA is filed under the name uncultured bacterium. RNAcentral describes it as "partial 16S ribosomal RNA". It matches the Rfam family "Bacterial small subunit ribosomal RNA", at positions 29 to 523 of the family's 1533-position model. The record is from RNAcentral.